RNAcentral lists this ribosomal RNA (447 nucleotides) under uncultured bacterium. Its description in RNAcentral is "SSU rRNA". It matches the Rfam family "Bacterial small subunit ribosomal RNA", at positions 26 to 518 of the family's 1533-position model. The record is from RNAcentral.
AGAGCGAACGCUGGCGGCAGGCUUAACACAUGCAAGUCGAGCGGGCGUAGCAAUACGUCAGCGGCAGACGGGUGAGUAACGCGUGGGAACAUACCUUUUGGUUCGGAACAACACAGGGAAACUUGUGCUAAUACCGGAUAAGCCCUUACGGGGAAAGAUUUAUCGCCGAAAGAUUGGCCCGCGUCUGAUUAGCUAGUUGGUGAGGUAACGGCUCACCAAGGCGACGAUCAGUAGCUGGUCUGAGAGGAUGAUCAGCCACAUUGGGACUGAGACACGGCCCAAAACUCCUACGGGAGGCAGCAGUGGGAAUAUUGGACAAUGGGCGCAAGGCCUGAUCCAGCCAUGCCGCGUGAGUGAUGAAGGCCCUAGGUUGUAAAGCUCUUUGUGCGGGAAGAUAAUGACGGUACCGCGAAGAAUAAGCCCGGCUAACUUCGUGCCAGCAGCCGC